RNAcentral lists this ribosomal RNA (372 nucleotides) under uncultured organism. RNAcentral's name for it is "bacterial SSU rRNA". It matches the Rfam family "Bacterial small subunit ribosomal RNA", at positions 526 to 896 of the family's 1533-position model. The record is from RNAcentral.
CGUAGGGGGCAAGCGUUGUCCGGAUUUACUGGGCGUAAAGCGCGUGUAGGCGGCCAGGCAGGUCCGUUGUGAAAACUGGAGGCUUAACCUUCAGACGUCGACGGAAACCGUGUGGCUAGAGUCCGGAAGAGGAGAGUGGAAUUCCUGGUGUAGCGGUGAAAUGCGCAGAUAUCAGGAAGAACACCAAUGGCGAAGGCAGCUCUCUGGGACGGUACUGACGCUGAGACGCGAAAGCGUGGGGAGCGAACAGGAUUAGAUACCCUGGUAGUCCACGCCGUAAACGAUGGGUGCUAGGUGUGGGAGGUGUCGACUCCUUCCGUGCCGUAGCUAACGCAUUAAGCACCCCGCCUGGGGAGUACGGCCGCAAGGCUA